This 237-nucleotide ribosomal RNA is filed under the name uncultured bacterium. Its description in RNAcentral is "partial 16S ribosomal RNA". It matches the Rfam family "Bacterial small subunit ribosomal RNA", at positions 99 to 334 of the family's 1533-position model. The record is from RNAcentral.
CGAACGGGUGAGUAACGCGUGAGGAACCUGCCUCAAAGAGGGGGACAACAGUUGGAAACGACUGCUAAUACCGCAUAAGCCCACGGGUCGGCAUCGACCUGAGGGAAAAGGAGCAAUCCGCUUUGAGAUGGCCUCGCGUCCGAUUAGCUAGUUGGUGAGGUAAUGGCCCACCAAGGCGACGAUCGGUAGCCGGACUGAGAGGUUGAGCGGCCACAUUGGGACUGAGACACGGCCCAG